Molecule: ribosomal RNA, 254 nt
Filed under: uncultured bacterium
Lineage: Bacteria
Description: partial 16S ribosomal RNA
Rfam family: Bacterial small subunit ribosomal RNA
Source: RNAcentral
UACGAAGGGGGCGAGCGUUGUUCGGAAUUACUGGGCGUAAAGGGCGCGUAGACGGUUACAUAAGUCGGGUGUGAAAGCCCCGGGCUCAACCUGGGAAUUGCAUUCGAGACUGCGUAGCUAGGAUGCGGAAGAGGGAAGCGGAAUUUCCGGUGUAGCGGUGAAAUGCGUAGAUAUCGGAAGGAACACCAGUGGCGAAAGCGGCUUCCUGGUCCAGCACCGACGUUCAGGCACGAAAGCGUGGGGAGCAAACAGGG